Molecule: non-coding RNA, 287 nt
Organism: Pelobates cultripes (western spadefoot toad)
Lineage: Eukaryota; Metazoa; Chordata; Amphibia; Anura; Pelobatidae
Source: the annotation of a GenBank genome assembly
GGAUGAAGUUCGAAAUUUAUGCUAACUUGGUUUAGGAAACCACUGCCUCCUUUGGGAUCACCGCCAUAACGAAGAGGGGGUGUAGCGUGGGCAGAAGCCCUCCUGCAACCAUCUCCAUAUGAGAUUACUGGGGUCUAUGACCCGGGAUAUGUUCCUCCGGCUGGAGAUGGGCAGUACGGGCUAGCAAGGUCUGAACAGCUACAGCGAACUGGUCCAUACGAUGGUCCAGUUCCUCAAACCGGUUAUCAGGAACCAGCCCAUGAGGGUUAGCACCUGCAGGGUCCAUA